Non-coding RNA from Vicia faba (fava bean), 204 nucleotides. Lineage: Eukaryota; Viridiplantae; Streptophyta; Magnoliopsida; Fabales; Fabaceae. The record is from the annotation of a GenBank genome assembly.
AUGAUCAGAGUGUUGCAUCAGGGUGGUGGCGUGAGGGAGGGUCAGAUCUGGGUGGUAUUCAAAGGUGCUCGCGGGUUUAUGGCCGAUGCUGGAUCCGUAGAGGCUAUUCGCACUCAGUUUGGUGUGUGGCGAUUCGUCGAAAAUGGUGGGCGACUAUGCAAAGGGCCAGAUCCGAAAGGUGCGGCGGUGGAAUGGGUUGGAUAG